UACGGGAGGUGCAAGCGCGAUUCGGAAUCAUUGGGCGUAAAGGGCGCGUAGGCGGUCUUUUAAGUCAGAUGUGAAAGCCCUCGGCUUAACCGAGGAAGUGCAUUUGAUACUAAGAGACUUGAGUAUGGGAGAGGGAAGCGGAAUUCCUGGUGUAGCGGUGAAAUGCGUAGAUAUCAGGAGGAACACCGGUGGCGAAGGCGGCUUCCUGGACCAAUACUGACGCUGAGGCGCGAAGGCGUGGGGAGCAAACAGG
This 253-nucleotide ribosomal RNA is filed under the name uncultured bacterium. RNAcentral's name for it is "partial 16S ribosomal RNA". It matches the Rfam family "Bacterial small subunit ribosomal RNA", at positions 524 to 776 of the family's 1533-position model. The record is from RNAcentral.